This 256-nucleotide ribosomal RNA is filed under the name uncultured bacterium. Its description in RNAcentral is "partial 16S ribosomal RNA". It matches the Rfam family "Bacterial small subunit ribosomal RNA", at positions 524 to 776 of the family's 1533-position model. The record is from RNAcentral.
GACGAACCGUGCGAACGUUGUUCGGAAUCACUGGGCUUAAAGGGCGCGUAGGCGGCUCCGCAAGUCGGGGGUGAAAUCUUUCGGCUUAACCGGAAAAGUGCCUCUGAUACUGCGGAGCUCGAGGGAGGUAGGGGCGGACGGAACUUCCGGUGGGAGCGGUGAAAUGCGUUGAUAUCCACAGGAACUCCGGUGGCGAAGGCGGCACGCUGGACCCCUUCGUCGACGCUGAGGCGCGAAAGCCAGGGGAGCGAACGGG